RNAcentral lists this ribosomal RNA (254 nucleotides) under uncultured bacterium. RNAcentral's name for it is "partial 16S ribosomal RNA". It matches the Rfam family "Bacterial small subunit ribosomal RNA", at positions 524 to 776 of the family's 1533-position model. The record is from RNAcentral.
UACGGGGGGGGGCAAGCGUUGUUCGGAAUUACUGGGCGUAAAGGGCUCGUAGGCGGUUUGUCACGUCGGGAGUGAAAACUCAGGGCUCAACCCUGAGCGUGCUUCCGAUACGGGCAGACUAGAGGUAUGCAGGGGAGAACGGAAUUCCUGGUGUAGCGGUGGAAUGCGCAGAUAUCAGGAGGAACACCGGUGGCGAAGGCGGUUCUCUGGGCCUUACCUGACGCUGAGGAGCGAAAGCGUGGGGAGCAAACAGG